RNAcentral lists this ribosomal RNA (487 nucleotides) under uncultured bacterium. Its description in RNAcentral is "bacterial SSU rRNA". It matches the Rfam family "Bacterial small subunit ribosomal RNA", at positions 28 to 511 of the family's 1533-position model. The record is from RNAcentral.
GAUGAACGCUAGCGACAGGCUUAACACAUGCAAGUCGAGGGGCAUCACGGUGUAGCAAUACACUGGUGGCGACCGGCGCACGGGUGAGUAACACGUAUGCAACCUGGCCUUAUCAGGGGGAUAAUCGGGGGAAACCCCGUCUAAUACCGCGUAUAUGGUAUAGAGGCAUCUUUGUACCAAGAAGGAGUGAUCUGGAUAAGGAUGGGCAUGCGGGACAUUAGGUAGAUGGCGGGGUAACGGCCCACCAUGCCUACGAUGUCUAGGGGUUCUGAGAGGAAGGUCCCCCACACUGGAACUGAGACACGGUCCAGACUCCUACGGGAGGCAGCAGUGAGGAAUAUUGGUCAAUGGUCGGAAGACUGAACCAGCCAUGCCGCGUGAAGGUCACGGCCCUAUGGGUCUUAAACUUCUUUGUAAGGGAGCAAUAAGGUUCACGUGUGGACUGAUGAGAGUACCUUACGAAUAGCAUCGGCUAACUCCGUGCCAG